This 122-nucleotide ribosomal RNA is filed under the name Porphyromonas sp. Its description in RNAcentral is "partial 16S ribosomal RNA". It matches the Rfam family "Bacterial small subunit ribosomal RNA", at positions 1409 to 1533 of the family's 1533-position model. The record is from RNAcentral. Lineage: Bacteria; Pseudomonadati; Bacteroidota; Bacteroidia; Bacteroidales; Porphyromonadaceae.
AGCUGGGGGUACCUGAAGACGGUCACCGCAAGGAGCUGUUUAGGGUAAAACUAGUGACUGGGGCUAAGUCGUAACAAGGUAGCCGUACCGGAAGGUGCGGCUGGAACACCUCCUUUCUAGAG